CGAAUCCUGCACGACCCACCAAUUUCAGCAUUUAACUCAGAUGCUGAACGUGAAGGAUAACGUUGCGACAGCAACGGCCCGAAGGGCGAGGCGAAGUCGAGUCAUCCUGCACGACCCACCA
RNAcentral lists this small RNA (121 nucleotides) under Klebsiella pneumoniae. RNAcentral describes it as "partial RtT sRNA". It matches the Rfam family "RtT RNA", at positions 44 to 130 of the family's 130-position model. Rfam says of the family: This family represents a bacterial cis-regulatory element known as RtT RNA. The exact function of RtT is unknown although it is thought that it may be involved in changing the cellular response in relation to amino acid starvation. Lineage: Bacteria; Pseudomonadati; Pseudomonadota; Gammaproteobacteria; Enterobacterales; Enterobacteriaceae. The record is from RNAcentral.